Molecule: non-coding RNA, 1950 nt
Organism: Cricetulus griseus (Chinese hamster)
Lineage: Eukaryota; Metazoa; Chordata; Mammalia; Rodentia; Cricetidae
Source: RefSeq, a predicted model, not a curated record
AACUGAGCAGCCAAACCAGAAGCGGAGGAGACGACCGUGGAAGUGAUUUGUCCUGAAAUCAUCAGGUGCAAAAGCUGCCAGGACAAAACAGAUUCCAACGGGACUGUUGUGCCCUUUGGAAAGCUGGAAAAAGACUGUGGGUGUGUGUGUGUGUGUGUGUGUGUGUGUGUGUGUGUGUGUGUGUGUGUGUGUGUGUGUGUGUGUGUCCUUCCAUUUCAAGUGAAGUGCAAUGGCUCUCUCUCAGUUCAGAAAAAUGAACAAUUUGGAGGGCAGCAUUCUGAAAUAAAAGUUAGAUUGUAUGAUCUUAUUAGACACACCUAGUAACCCCUUACAAGACCCCUUCAAGGACUCCUAGUGCCAUUUAUAAUCUUUCAUGUUUCAUAAUCUGUCUUCUUAUGUAAUUUUAAUAUGAAAUGGCACUAGCUGCCCCCCACCCCCCAUGCUCUGGGAUAGCUUCUCUUCUCUUCAUUUUCAAUAGUUAGGGCCUGUCUGCCUUCAGAGCUCAGUAGUAUUGCUUAAAAGAGCCUUCGUUCAGUGCUGCCUUCUCUAUGACUGAUUCCAGCCAGCACAAUGAAAGCUAUUGGGAUGAACGCACACUCCAUUGGAGGCAGCCUUUACAGGGAAGAGUUAAGUUCAUUCAUUGCAAAGUAUUUGCUAGGGGCCUGGGAUCUCUGGCUUUCUGGGUGUGGGGACUUUUAAAGACAAUGGGUUCUCAGGUGUUAUGCAAAUAAAGCAAAGCCCCGGCCCUGUCCCCUAGGCCAGCCGAGACCUCAGAGAGCAGUUCCUCCUGCCUUAAUGGUUCAUUGUUUCCGUCUUAGAGAAGUGGCUGGGAGGGGAGGGGAGGGGUGGAGGGUGGAGGGUGGAGAAGGAACAGUACAGGGUAGAAGGAGGGGAUGGAGAAAAAGAAUGGAGACGAGGGUUCCUGGCUUCUGUUGUGGCGUCUUUUCUAUUUGACUUCAUGGUUGUAAGUAUUUCCAGAUGGUGAAUCAGACACCAGACGUAACAAUAUUUCCAUAUUUGGGUAUAGCAGUAGCCUGCGUUUUUAACAUUUUUCUGCCUCUGUUAUCCAACCACAAGGCAUUCUUGACAGCUUCAAAUGUUGUUAAAUAUAGACUUAACUUCUGUUCCCAGAGCAGGAAAUUCUUUGGAAUUCCUUGUUUUUCACGCAAUCUGUCUAUCACGAUUUAAAAUAAAGUUACAGUGGAUGACCCAACUGGCCUGGAUAUACUGUGUUCUUUUGCUGGGGGAGGGAGGAGCAGCCGAGAGGUCCAGUAUACUGCACAGCGCUCAAACGGACACCCCAUUCCAUAGCUGCCUUAAAAAAAUCAGAUUAAAGUUUUCUAUUGAGGAUGUGUGGAGUUUUGUUUCUGGUCUCCAACUGGGCAAUCUCAAAGAAUGGGAUUGUCCCAGAGGAGAAACCCCCGAGAACAUUACCGUCGGCUGCCCAUUUAAGCAGCCGACCGCAUGCCCUGCUGCGCCUGCUGCUAACCAAGAGGAACAGCGGCUUCUUAAAUCCUUGCCUACGAUGGUCCAGCAAGCCCAGACGUCCUGUCGCCUUCUCACCUCCUCUGCUGAGAGCUACAGAUCUUCCGAUGACAGACAAGGAGGGGAUGUGCGAAUGGUGUGGCAACCUGAUGCAGUAAGAUUUAUUAGCAAUCCAAUCGAAACAGGAAGAGCUGUGUACAGACAGGAGAAUCAGCUUGCUCAAGGUUACCCACCUGGUAAGUGAAGUAAGUAAAGCCAACUCUAUGACCCGAGACUUGUUCUUGUCCCAGGCUGCUAUACCUCCUGGAAUCAUUAACUCAUGGGUUUUUAAAAAAAUUAUUUAACAAUUUCAUAUAUGUAUAUAUUUUUGUCAUUUUCAUCUCUAUGGGUUUUGUCUUUCUUAAAGAUUGGGUGUUAAUUCCCAAGGUCACUUCUAGUCAUCAUUAAAAGUUAAUUUUGGUGGUA